GAGUUUGUCGUGGCUCAGGACGAACGCUGGCGGCGUGCUUAACACAUGCAAGUCGAGCGGAAAGGCCCUUCGGGGUACUCGAGCGGCGAACGGGUGAGUAACACGUGAGUAACCUGCCCUAGACUUUGGGAUAACCCUCGGAAACGGGGGCUAAUACCGGAUACUCCUUCUGCUUCGCAUGGAGCGGUGGGGAAAGUUUUUCGGUCUGGGAUGGACUCGCGGCCUAUCAGCUUGUUGGUGGGGUAAUGGCCUACCAAGGCGACGACGGGUAGCCGGCCUGAGAGGGCGACCGGCCACACUGGGACUGAGACACGGCCCAGACUCCUACGGGAGGCAGCAGUGGGGAAUAUUGCACAAUGGGCGGAAGCCUGAUGCAGCGACGCCGCGUGAGGGAUGACGGCCUUCGGUU
This 409-nucleotide ribosomal RNA is filed under the name uncultured Actinomycetes bacterium. RNAcentral describes it as "bacterial SSU rRNA". It matches the Rfam family "Bacterial small subunit ribosomal RNA", at positions 9 to 423 of the family's 1533-position model. Lineage: Bacteria; Bacillati; Actinomycetota; Actinomycetes. The record is from RNAcentral.